GAUGAACGCUGGCGGCGUGCCUAAUACAUGCAAGUCGAGCGAACGGACGAGAAGCUUGCUUCUCUGAUGUUAGCGGCGGACGGGUGAGUAACACGUGGAUAACCUACCUAUAAGACUGGGAUAACUUCGGGAAACCGGAGCUAAUACCGGAUAAUAUUUUGAACCGCAUGGUUCAAAAGUGAAAGACGGUCUUGCUGUCACUUAUAGAUGGAUCCGCGCUGCAUUAGCUAGUUGGUAAGGUAACGGCUUACCAAGGCAACGAUGCAUAGCCGACCUGAGAGGGUGAUCGGCCACACUGGAACUGAGACACGGUCCAGACGCCGACGGGAGGCAGCAGUAGGGAAUCUUCCGCAAUGGGCGAAAGCCUGACGGAGCAACGCCGCGUGAGUGAUGAAGGUCUUCGGAUCGUAAAACUCUGUUAUUAGGGAAGAACAUAUGUGUAAGUAACUGUGCACAUCUUGACGGUACCGAAUCAGAAAGCCACGGCUAACUACGUG
This 497-nucleotide ribosomal RNA is filed under the name uncultured bacterium. RNAcentral describes it as "partial 16S ribosomal RNA". It matches the Rfam family "Bacterial small subunit ribosomal RNA", at positions 28 to 507 of the family's 1533-position model. The record is from RNAcentral.